This 609-nucleotide ribosomal RNA is filed under the name Triticum aestivum (bread wheat). RNAcentral describes it as "partial small subunit ribosomal RNA". Lineage: Eukaryota; Viridiplantae; Streptophyta; Magnoliopsida; Poales; Poaceae. The record is from RNAcentral.
AUGCCGUCGUGGCCGAAGAGCAACGAGACGUCGAACGACGAUGACGAGUACAUGAGCGAGUUCAGCAGCAUGCAGAUGGAGUACUUUCAAACUCCUGACACUGUGAUAGACCCUAGUUUCUGUGGGCUUGUGACUGAAUCUGCCAGAAGGUGCAUCCUGCACAGGCAGAGGGCGGGCAAGUUUGUGGCAUUUGAAGGCACUGACACUGGCAGGAGAUUCAUAGGAUGUGCUACUGAGGAUGGUGUGAACUGUGGUGUUCUGGAGUGGGUAGAUGCUCCCUGGCUUGUAAUUCUGCAAAGAUGCUUAAGCAAGCUCUGGGAUAUGUAUCAUGAGCAGAACCUUGGUAGAGCCCAGGAUAAUGAGGCUCAUGGGAUAGAGGUUGCAAAACUGCAGAAGGAGCUUGGUUCUCUGGCCAAUCAGUAUAGCCAGCUGGUGGAUGAUGUGUCCAAGUUGUUUGAUUAUCAGGAUGGAAUCAAAUCUCAUGACAUGGAUUGCACAAGCCAGGCAAUCAAUGAACUGAAGGAGAAGAAGAAGCAUCUUGAGGAGCAGGCAAAGAUUGAGCUUCAAAUGGAGAAGCUUAAGCUCAAGAAAGAACAAAGUCAUUGCUGA